ACAUUGAAACCAAGAGGCGAAGAAGAUUACGUAAAUGAGGUGUUUACCUGUUGAUGAGCAACGAUUCUGGGGAUUCGAGCUAAACGAGGACGAGCUUCCACGCCAAAAGCAAACACGAACGACGGCUACGACGUUUCAAUGGAAUAUCACAGUCGAACACACUAAGACGAAACAGAACGUAUCUCUCGAUUUCUUCUCAAUUCCCUUUGUUUAUCUGUGUGCUUAUUACGUUUUUGGUAAACCUUUCUAAGACAGAUUGAACGCUACUCUCGAAAAAAAUCGAACAGAAAAAAAAAACAGUAGAACAACCUUCUGAGGAAAUCUCAAUCUAAUUUUUUCCAACCCCUUUUCUGAAGAAGAUGGGGGUUUAUAUAGAAAAAAAAAUUAGGGUUCUUCGAGGGAGAGGGCUGGCAGAUGCCCUUUCAGGCCCAUCAAAAUUUGAAAAACCAAUUCCCAAAUCUUAUCCAAAGGUUGAGGGAAUUUGCCCUGAAGAUGCUCUCGAAUUCGUCCCAUUCCAACGGAAAGGAAGCAUACGUAGAGGGCUCGGAUCAAUCGCUUGUCCUUGCACCAUUAUGUGGAGUGAUCCUACGCUACAAGGACGAAAUUUGCAGCCUUCCCUACUGCAGAGCUACACGAGCGCACUGCUGUACGGGUGAAGGAGGAAGAAGACACGAAAGUUGUUGCUUACGCUCGCGUGAGGCGCGUCGUUGAAGGGGAAGAAGAAGAUCGUUGGGGAAUUUUGCACGUGAAGGAGAUGCGGGGGGGGGGGGGUUCACGCUGCUGGGUUCUGUUUUCAGGGAAUUUCUGUUUUUGGGGAAUUUUCGCGUCUGGGUUGGGAAAAGGAAGAAGGGAGAAACAAGUUUGGGGUUGGGUUAUUGGCAUUGGGUCGGGUAGGUGGAAAGGGGUUGGGCUGGAGGGGAAUUGGGUUGGGCUGGAGGGAAGGACAUAAAGCUCCAACUUUGGUUUUAUUAUUAUUUUUUUUAAAAAAAAAAUUGUAAAGGAGGGUGUUGGGCCGUCUGGGGAAUAAAAGAAUUGGGUUGACGUUUUAGCUUUAGUGGGCCGGGUAGGGGGAAAAAUAAAAGGAAAAGGAUUGAAGUGGGCUGUUGAAAGGGAGAAAUUGGAGUGGGCUUGGGAAUUAAUUAAAAUGGAGUGGGCUGGAAGGGAAUAAAAGGGAGAAGGGAAUUGAGUUAAUGUAAUAAAUAGCCAAAUAGAGUUAAGAUGAUAAAUUUGGCAACACCUUAAAUAAAACGAAUUUGUAUUAAUUAAUUAACGAGCUUCUCAAUUUUAGUAAUAUAAUUAAAAAUAGUGAUUCAAAAUAAUCAUAAUUUAAAACUAAGAUAGAGUGCUUACUAAAAUUAAAAUAUUUUUGAGAUGGUUUUUGAAUAAUCCUAAAAUAUACUAAUUAUAUACAUAACUAUGUAAAAUAUAUAUAUUAUCUAAAAAUUAUGAUAAAAGUAUCCGAAGUAACAUAAAGUCCAUGCAUUAUAUUAUAUUUUCGCAAAAUUUAUAAAACUAAUUAAUUUAAAUUGUUUGGACAACUUACGAAGCUCGAGAAUUAAUUUAUACCGACGGAUCAAAAUUGAGUGUCAACAACUGUCCCCCGUUUUACUUGGGUUGAUGCAAUCAAUUCUAGGAAAUUGAAAUUGACCAAAUCAAUUUUGACCAACCCCGUUCAUCUUUAAAGGAAGGAUUUGGCAGAAGGUUUAAGAAUCAUGACCGAACCCUUGAAACGGGUUUCCUACAUAUCUAAGGCUAUAUGAGAAUUCAGGCCACUUGUAGUUCGAUAAGUUUGAUUCAACGCACGAUUUUGAAGGAAUAUCAAUAACCACCUCGAUACCGAAUUAUGAAGGUAUCAAAAUGCUCGAGAAUAAAAUUUGAGAGCGAAUGUUGGAAUACAGCCGAGUUUUCAACAUUGAAUCCGCCUAUGUAUCUUUAAACCUUCAAGAAUCAGGCUGUGUGUAGUUUGACUCGAUCGGUUGAAAAGAAAAUCUAUUAUGCUAGAUAAAAUUUGGUUUUGGAUAAGUGACAAGUUAAACGAGUAUGAAAAGGAGGCUUGUAACCUCUUAGCCAUGCAUGUGGCGCGCUUCACACCCAUAAUUAAGAUCUUACACUGACAUAAUUUCCAAAUCUCUUGGCGCAUUGUCACUCAGAUUGGAAACUUGCUUCCGGUAAAUCGAAAUUUUUGGAUGCGAGACUAAAACUGACAGACCUAAAGAAAUACCUACAUGCUUUUGAUAGGGUUGGUUCGAUCGUGGUGAAAGUCGCUCCUCUGCUCGUGUCCCAAGAGUUUGACAUUCCUCUUUGGACUAUGUCCCAGUUCGCUGCUAAGGAAAAGUUCCACGUUGUGCCGCAUCCUUUUUUAUGUCGUCCGCACCAGUGGUUUUUGGAGAAUUCAUCCUUUUUGGAUGCUCUCGACUAAGACUGAGAUAAAAACUCUUCAGCUUAAAAAAGAAAUUAGGAUGGGAGACAAUGUCUUUUACCAUGUCGACAUUUCAUUGUUCUCCUCAAUAUUCGACGUCGACUCGAUUGGUCUGACGUACAGCAAAUAAAGCUUAUGAUUUGUGUUUUGCAAUAUAAUCUUCAAGGUACUCUUCAUUUGACGUUGAAAUAAAUAAAUGAAUGCUGAUGCGAUAUUAAUAUUUCUUUUGCCGUCACCUUUGAUGCUCUUCUUGUUUUUUACUUUUACAAAAACAAAAGAAUGUGGUUGAUGCCGAUGGAUAAAUAUUGCUCUUGGGAUGCACAAUUUCCUUUUCUUUAUCCAUGUAUGUCUUCUUGCGGGGCGUGAAUAUCGGGACGUGAAUAUAUUCUCGUGAUACGUAAAUUCCUGCGAGGUAUGAAAUCUUCUCACAAUGAUAACUUUCGGCGAGGCAUGAAAUUUUCUCGCGAUGCGCACAUUUCAACAAGGCAUGGAAUCUUCUCGUGAUGCAUAAACUCCAGCGAGGUAUAAAGUCUUCUCGCGAUGUAUAAAUUUUUACGAGGCAUGAGAUCUUCUCGUCGCUUAACUAUUGACUCGCGAUGCAUGAUUUCUGCGAAGCAUGAUUUUCAACGAGGCAUGGAUUCUUCUCGUGAUGCAUAAAUUCCAGCGACGUAUGAAGUCUUCUCGCGAUGUAUAAAUUUGACGAGGCAUGAAAUCUUCUCGUGAUGCAUAAAUUCCAGCGAGGUAUAAAGUCUUCCCGCGAUAUAUAAAUUUGACGAGGCAUGAAAUCUUCUCGUGAUGCAUAAAUUCCAGCGAGGUAUAAAGUCUUCCCGCGAUAUAUAAAUUUGACGAGGCAUGAAAUCUUCUCGUAAUGCAUAUAUUCCAGCGAGGUAUAAAGUCUUCCCGCGACAUAUAAAUUUGAUGAGGCAUGAAAUCUUCUCGUAAUGUAUAAAUUCCAGCGAAGUAUAAAGUCUUCCCGAGACAUAUAAAUUUGACGAGACAUGAAAUCUUCUCGUGAUGCAUAAAUUCCAAACUCGCGAUGCAUGAUUUUCCGCAAUGCAUGACUUUUCGCAAUGCAUGAUUUCCGCGAUGCAUGAUUUCCCGUGAUGCAUGAUUUUCCACUAUGCACGAUUUUCGCGAUGCAUGAUUUUCCACAAUGCAUGACGUCCGCGAUGCAUGAUUUUCCGCAAUGUAUGACUUUCCGCAAUGCAUGAUUCUCCGCGAUGCAUGAUUUUUAACUCGCAAUGCAUGAAUAUUUAUAUCAUCUUUGUUGAUGAUAACGGCAAGACGACCUCCAGAUAAUAUAUCGCCUUGAUCGAUAAUAAAAUAAUAAUAAAAUAACUAUCCCUUCUGGGGUAAUGCAUUGUCUUGAUUGACAAUAAUUAUCUUGCUUCAUAAUGUGAUGCAAAUAGCGUCCUUUACGGAAAUCGUGAAAUCUUCGUUGAGAUUCCUGUUUGAUUCACCUUUGAAUCUGGCUAGACACUCUUUGUAAAUUUCAUAUUGUUGGAAAUUGCUUGAAAUAAACAAACCACAUUCCCUAGUCUUCGACAUAACCGAUAUGAAAUGCUUCCUGCUCUCAGCAAAAUUAUUGGUUUUGGGGAUAGUUUUCUCCUCUUUGGGAGCUCUCUAUAUUCAUUCGUCGGGAGAAUUUGGCCAAUUUCAAAGCAAAGCUAUAAACCUGCAUCCACAGAAAAAUUGUCAGUUUUAAAAACAUAUUGAUCUGUGUCGAUUUCUUCAGUUGUUUGCUCCUUGUCUUGAUAUCUCCGGUUGAUUUCCCGAUUUCCCGACUAUUGAUAGAUAAGCCAAAAUAUUUUAUGCCAAAACAAAUGAAACAUAAAAGGGAAAAUUUGAGAGAAAUAAAAAAUCUUUAAGAAAUAGUAUCUUGAUAAGGUCACUGCCAAGUCAUGUCAUAUCAUGCUUAACAAGCUUCUUUGAAUCUGACACUCCAAAAGGUCUAUCUGAUCAUUCGCUGAUGGGUUUCAGGGUCACUCCGGACUUGUAGGGUAGAUUCUAACGAAAUUUUGAGGCCAUUCUCAAUAUUUCUGUCCCAGUUUACUAUCUUGCUUAUCUUUCCACUGUAACUGAACAGAUCGCGAGAUUUUUGAGAUCUUCUCAAAAAUUCUGUCCCAGUUGCAAAUCUCGAAAUAUCCUUAGUUUGACUUGCUGAGGAGGAACCUUCUUCUGGAGAAUUUUGAGUCUCUCAAAAAUUCUGUCCCAGUUUCAUUGCAAAAGGGAAUAGAACUUAUGGGAGAUAUGACCGAACCCUUGUGGCGCCUACGUAUCCCGUUGAGGCAGGAAUCAGGUCAAACGUAGUUCCCCUUAAAGGUUAACAAGAAUAAAUUUUACAAAGAAACCGACCAAGGCCGGUAAAGGCCGCCUACGUAUCUCAUUCUUGAGAAUUCAGGUCGAACGUAGUUCAGAUACAAAGAAAUAAUUUAAGGGGAUAAACGGGGUGACCGAAGCCGACAUAGGCCGCCUACAUAUCUCGUUUUCAAGAAUUCAUGUCAGACGUAGUUCAUUAAAAGAGGGAUAAGAAUUCAAAUGGAACAAAUACAAGCAAACAGAACGAUUACAAGUAAAUCAUAGAAAAUGCAAAAUGAACUUCACACAUAGUAUCUCUUGACAGCAUCUGAGUUGAUAGGUUUGGACCAUACAGUGCCAUCCAUCUCCGACAGGAUCAAAGCACACCCAAAUAAUACUUUACGAACCAUGUUUGGCGCGAACUUUCCUUUGUAUUCGUCUUGAUGAGGAAAAAUAUGCUUAAGAACCAACUGACCGACUUCAAAAUUUCUGGCCCUUACUCUUUUAUGAAAGGCGCGAGUCAUUCUCUGUCUAUACAACUGGACAUGGCAAACGACAAUCAUUCUCUUUUCAUCUAAUCAAAUCUAGUUGAUCAAUCCGUUUGCUAACCCAUUCAGCGUUACUUAACUCAGCUUCUUGGAUGAUCCUCAAUGACGGUAUCUCAACUUCAACAGGUAUGACUGCCUCUAUUCCAUAUACUAGCAAGUAUUGAGUAGCACCAGUCGAUGUUCUGACUGUCGUUCGAUAACCUAGUAAAGCGUAUGACAACAUUUCAUGCCAACCUCGAUGUUUGUCAAUCAUUUUCCUCAAGAUCUUUUUGAUAUUCUUGUUGGCGGCCUCUACAACUCCGUUCAUUUGGGGGCGAUAAGCAGUUGACUUUCGAUGAAUAAUCUUAAAUUGCUCACAUAUCUCUCUCAUCAAAUGACUGUUGAGGUUUGCACCGUUAUCUGUAAUGAUGGAUUCUGGAACUCCAAAUCUGCAUAUUAGAUUGUUGCGGACAAAAUCGGCAUCCUCUUUCUUGGUUACCGACUUGUAAGAAGCUGCCUCCACCCACUUGGUGAAAUAAUCAAUGGCAACCAAAAUGAAUCUGUCCAUUAGAAGCGCCUGGCUCUAUAGGACCGAUGACGUCCAUUCCCCAAGCAACAAAUGGCCAAGUUGAGCUCAUAUCAUUAAGUUCGUGAGGUGGCACCCGUAUCAAAUCGCCGUGCACUUGACAUCUGUGGCAUUUUUGCACGAAUUUGCAACAGUCAUUCUCCAUAGUCAUCCAGAAAUAACCGGCUCGAAGAAUCUUUCUUGCCAAAGUAAGUCCAUUCAUAUGUGUACCACAAACUCCAGCAUGUAUCUGUUCAAUAAGCCUCACAGCUUCAGCAGCAUCCACACAUCUUAAAAGACCUAAGUCUGGAGUCCUCCUAUACAGGACUUCUUCAUUUAGAAAGAAAUUGAGAGUCAUACAGCGUAUCGACUUCUUCUGAUUGGAUGUAGCGUCUUCUGGAUAUGUCCCAGACUCCAAGUACCUCUUUAUGUCAAAAUACAAAGGCAAACCGUCUUAUUCUAAUUCAACAUGUGAACAAUGGAGUGGAUGUUCCUUCAACUCUAUAUCCAGCGGGUCGAUGUAAUCAGUAUCCGGAUGUUUGAUCAUCGAAGCGAUGGUGGCAAGAGCUUCGGCUAAUUCAUUCUGUAUUCUGGGAGUAUGUCUGAACUCGAUCCUGCGAAAUCUUUUGCACAGAUUUUGCACAUAUUGUACGUAAGGUAUAAUUUUUUCGGGUUCUUCACAGCCCAUUCACCUUGAACCUGAUGAAUCAAGAGGUCUGAAUCUCCAAUAACCAAUAGCUCGUAAACAUCCAUGUCGAUGACCAUUUUCAAACCAAGAAUACAAGCUUCGUAUUCAACCAUGUUGUUUGUGCAAUUAAAUCGGAGUUUAGCUGCCAUGAGAUAGUGCUGACCGGAUUCUGAUACUAAGACUGCUCCAAUACCCUUACCUUGAUGAUUUUCUGCUCUGUCAAAGAAUAAUCUCCAACCUGGGUGUGCUUCAGAAAUAUCUUCACCCGCAAAUGACACUUCUUCAUCGUGAAAAUAAGUCUUGAGUGGUUCGUAUUCUUCAUCCACGGGAUUUUCUGCAAGAUGAACAGCCAAAGCUUGUGCCUUUAUUGCCUUCUGAGUCACAUACACGAUAUCAAACUCACUCAACAACAUUUGCCAUUUAGCUAACUUUCUAGUCGGCAUCACUUUCUGGAAAAUGUACUUCAAUGGAUCCAUUCUGGAAAUGAGAUAUGUAGUAUACGAAGACAAAUAAUGUCUCAAUUUCUGGGCAAGCCAUGUCAGAGCGCAACCUGUACUUUCCAGCAAAGUGUAACGAGACUCGUACGGAGUAAACUUCUCGCUUAUAUAGUAGAUAACCCUUUCUUUCUUUCAUGUCUCGACGUGUUGAUUAAGUACACAUCCGAAGGCACUAUCUGAAACAAACAAAUACAGCAACAAAGGACUCCCUUCUCGCGGAGGAACCAAUACCGGUGGGUUAGACAAAUAGCUCUUGAUAGCAUCGGAAGCAGCUUGGCACUCCCCAGUCCACUUAGUCGGGGCGUCUUUCUUCAGCAAUCUGAAAAUAGGCUCACACACCACUGUUGAUUGGGCUAUAAACCGGCUGAUAUAGUUUAACCUCCCUAAGAAACUCAUCACCUCUUUUCUCGUUCUCGGCGGAAGUAACUCUUGAAUUGCUUUAAUCUUGGAGGGGUCAAGCUCAAUACCCCUUCUGCUGACUAUAAAUCCCAACAACUUCCCAGCUGGGACUCCAAAAGCGCAUUUGGCGGGAUUUAACUUCAAGUUGUACCGACGCAAACGUUCAAAGAAUUUUCUCAGGUGUGUCAAAUGAUCUGAAAUCUCACAGGAUUUGGUUAUGACGUCGUCCACGUACACUUCAAUUUCCUUAUGAAUCAUGUCAUGGAAAAUAGUCGUCAUGGCUCUCAUGUAAGUGGCACCGGUGUUCUUGAGGCCAAACAACAUCACCCUGUAGUGAUAUACACCCCAAGGUGUAAUGAAUGCCGUUUUUUCGCGUCUUCUUCAUCCAUCAAAAUUUGGUGAUAACCUGCGUAACAGUCCACAAAUGACUGCAUCUCGUGUUUGGCACAGUUGUCAAUCAAAAUAUGGAUAUUUGGCAAUGGAAAAUUAUCCUUCGAACUAGCCUUGUUGAGAUCCCUAUAAUCAACGCAAAUCUUGAUUUUCCCGUCCUUCUUGGUGACCGGGACGACGUUGGCCAACCAGGUUGGAUAUUGCGUUAGUUCCACCAAUCAAGACUCUAUUUGCUUGGUAAUUUCUUCCUUAAUCUUUAAACUCAGCUUAGGCUUGAAUUUUCGAGUCUUUUGUUUCACCGGCUCGAACCCUGGGUUGAUAGGUAGCUUAUAAGAUACGACAUCGGUACUCAACCCAUGCAUAUCACCGACUUCCCAAACAAACACAUCAUUGUAUUCGGCAAGCAAAUGAAUCAGGCUCUCGUUCUGAGUUUCAUUCAGGUAGGUGCUGAUUUUAACCUCUUUGACACAUCCCAAAUCUCCCAAAUUCACUGUUUCCGUCUCCUCUAGAUUCGGUUUAUGCUGAUUCUCGAACUUUCGAAAUUCCUCUGCAACAUAAUCUGGUUCCCCACUUUCUUCUUCAUAGUCGUCAACCUUGUCGUCAUUCGUCUCAUUUUGUUCAUUUAGCUCAUGACAUGACAUGACAUUGGCGGGUCUGUAACUUAUGUUACUGAAAUCAUAAACAAACAAAAUUAGGAAAGUAAAGUAUAACGAACAACUGAAUAAAGAAAGUUAAAAAAAUAAAGAGGCUUUCAUUUAAAACAAAAUGCAAACUUUGGUCAUGGCACAGGGCCAUGUUGCCCUUUUUAAACAUCACAACGAAAAUUCAAAAUUCAAACAAUUAAGAAAAAUGCAGAAAUGAUGGGUCUCGGAUCUCUCCGGACAACCACCAAUUUUAGUGUGCAUAAAAUAACUCCUUUCUACCGAAGAGUUCGGGACAUCAGGAUCGGCGUGGAAGUCCAUUUCUGCAGCACCUCCCUAGUUCAACAUCACGAAUAUCAACUGACUCGACCUCCUCCUCGAUAAUAGCAUUGAUCUCCUUGAAGAGGUCAUAGAUUCCUUCCCCACAGUCUUCGGGCCCGGCACACUCCCGGAUUGGAAAGGAUUGAUACAAAUGCGGGAUCGGUUUAGCCAACUCUUGAUCCUUUUUCUUCUUCAUCUUCACGUCGUCAUCUGUGGGGAUGUACCCCAAACCAUAUUUGGAUCCUUUAACAAGGACCGGAACAGGUUGAAUAAUUCCUUGGGAAUCUCUUCCCAAUCCGAAACCUGGCUCGAACCCAUUCUGCAGCAUUACCGUGGCUAUCAGUUUGUACACGGCUGGCAUGGGGGUCUGCGGGGCCAAAUCCUCAUCGAUGGCAUUUACCAACUCCACCGUGUAGAAGUCCGCACCUUGCGGCAUCUCGUUAAUGACCGGCACCUGCUUGCCUAAGUGACUUCUCUCACCGUGAACAACUAGCUCCUCAUUUUUCCGUACCAGCUUCAUCAUUUGAUGGAGAGUGGAGGGACGGCUCCAGCCAUGUGAAUGAACGGCCUUACCAAAAGAAGGUUAUAACUAGUGUCGAUAUCCAACACUUGGAAUUUUGCGCUGAACUCCGCGGGGCCCAUUUGAAGGGUCAAGUUCACCGCCCCUAAUGUGUCUCUUUGCACACCAUCAAACGCUCUUACAUUACCCUGGUUUUGCUCCAAUUUUCCGAGGUCAAACCUCAGCUGUCUCAAUGUCUACAAGGGGCAUGUAUUCAAACCAGAUCCAUCAUCUACCAAAACACGAUUGACGACCUUUCCACGACAUAUCACAGUAACGUGCAGAGCUUUGUUGUGGGUUCUCCCUUCGGCUGGCAACUCAUCGUCACAAAAGCUAAUACGGUGCCCCCGAAUGACUUGAUGAAUCAUGGCAGCUACAUUAUCGCUGCUUGUACCUGAGGGCACGUACGUAUCAUAAAGAGCUUUCAUCAAAGCCUGUUGGUGGGACUGAGAGCUCAUCAAUAGGGCCCACACGGAUAUCUGAGCCGGAGUUUUCUCCAAGUGUUUGACAAUGGAAUAAUCUUUCGGUUGCAUCCUCCUCUAGAACUCUUCUGCUUCUGCUGCGCUGAUUGGCCCCUUGGCAUGGUCUUUCUUCUGUCCUCCGAGAGCAAGCUCAUCAAGAGUGUAGUAUCUUCCGGACCUGGUCAUGCCUUGGGCCACAGCGGUUUCGAUGACAAAUUUGGGCUUGACGAGAGUUUUCGAGGGCACCAAGGCAACAACCUUUGUAGGUGUCAGAAUAACAAAUUCUCUCUUUUCUUUGACGCUUAAAGAAGUGACAGCCCUUUCCAAGUCCUCCUGCGCAACAGGGGUAAUCCUCUUUGUUCCACACCCGUCCUCGUCUGUUUCAAUCAUAUUAAUGUUGCCACCCCCAUGAUUUGGCAAUGGGUUUGUAUUGACGUUUGGUGCCACCGGUUGGAGGGAGACUACCUCCUGAUCGAUCAGAUCCUUGAUCUUGUGCUUAAGAUUGAUACAGUCUUCUGUGUCAUGUCCAAUACCGUUGGAAUGAUAAGCACAUCUUUGCUCCGGUUUGUAGAACUUAGAGUUGACAUCCACGGGCUUGGGCCCCACAGGGUGGAUGUAUCCGGCCGCAGAUGGUCUUUCGAAUAGUUUGGUCCGGCUUUUAUCCAGUGCGGUAAAGUUCCUCGAAGGCCUUUUUUUAACCUGGGACUAGAAGGAUCAUACCCGCUUUGCUGAGGGGUAGGAACCUGUUGAUAAUUGCCGGGUAUUUGGGCGAGGAACUUGGGUUCUAGGGUAGGGGUUUGUCUGGUAAUUUGGCACUGGAGCUUGGUAAUUCGGGAGGGGGUUUUGAUAUGCUGGAGCUUGGACUUGAUAUGUGGGCGGAGGUGCUCGGUAGCUCGACUGUACAUUGGCACAGUUGGGAGCAAUAUUUUUAUAAGGGGGUGGAAUUUGGUAAGAUUGGGGGUAAUUUGGGUACGUGGGGAAUUUUUUUUGGAGAUUUAGGGGUGGAUUUUGGUACGACAAAAUUUGUGCAUUUGGAUAAGUGAGGGCAGUAUUAUGGUUGUUGGGAUGAUUGGAUUGUGGGUAAUAGGCUUGGUGAGACUUUGGUGAAGGCUUGGAGCGAUCUUGAGAAUGCGAUGAGUUUCUAGGAGUUUUUCUUUCCCCAUAUGAAACAGCGGCAACUUCAUCUCUUUUCUUCUUCAUCAAUCCGGAAGAUUCAAGUGACACGGAUACUCGGGAUAUCUUCCCCAACUUCAGAUCGUAUUCGAUAGUUUCGCCAGCUUUGACUAUCUCGGCGAAUUUGGCUUCGACUAACAAAAUGAUUCUGUCAUAGUAUUCAUUCUUUUGCACCCGUACAAACAGUUCUACAAUCUCCUUUUCAGUCAUUGGAGGCCUCACCCAUGCUGCUUCUUUCCUCCAUCUAUAGGCAAAUUUCCGAUAGCUUUCAUUCGGUUUCUGCUUCAUCUUCUCUAGAGAAUACUGAUUAGGAACUAUCUCGACAUUGUACGCAAAUCGGUCAAUGAAGUCUUUAGCUAACACGCUCCAACUGGGCCACUGCCUGGUUUCAUGUGACGUAAACCACUCGAGGGCCUCCCCACACAGACUACGGCUGAAAAGCCUCAUCAAUAAAGCCUCAUCCUUGCCAACUCCCACGAGCUGGUCACAGUACGCUCUCAAAUGCGCCAUGGGAUUGCCUACUCCUCCGAAGGUAUCAAACUUCGAAAUUUUGAACCCUUCGGGAAGGUUCAAAUCUGGGUGGAUACACAAUUUUGCAUAACUCAGUCCGGCGACAUCUGGGAUGCACUGCAGCUCUUCAUAGACCUCGUAGUGAUCCAACUCCGAACCGUGCACCUCGUGCUCGGCAGGAAUGGGAACUUGGAAGGUAGUUCUUUUUGGGAGGGGUGGAGCUAUAGAAUGACUUGGGACGUUUUGGGCGGUUUGGUAGUUUUGUGGGAAGGUUUGAGGAUUGGUGUUUUGAUUUAAGUGGGGAUGCGGUGUGGGGGGUGAAGGCAGUUGGAUUUUGGUUUUGAUUCUGUGGCGGUGGGGUAGUUUGAGUAUUCUGGGGAUGGGGUGACAUUUGAGGAUGGUUAUUUGGUAGAGGUGAGGGAGUUUGAUAAGAUAAUGAAUCAAAAUGGGGGUUUUGGGUGGUUAAAUCUAUCAUAGACGGAUUAUGCACAGGUGUCGAUGGCUGGUAUUGAGUCGGAUCCAUGUUUGACGAAGGGAAGUAAAUCAGAGGUCUUGCAUCAACAAAAUUAGGGCCAAAUCCGAGUGGAGGCGUAUCCUGCCUCCGCUGCAUUUCGACUCUCAUUUCGGCUAUCUGUUGCAUCAGUUGCACGAUUAGUUCAUUCUGCUCGGCUAUAGUGGGCUGAGCCACCACAACGUCUGUGAGACUAACUUCGUCGUUAUUGUCUCCCUAUAAAUGUCUUUCCUUUGUCUGAAUUUGGUCUGUGGAAGGAAUCUGUAGGACCUUUCGAUCAGUUCAUCCAGCUUUGAUCGACACAUACCAGUUAAAAGUACCUGAAAAGUGAAACAACUCAAAGGCAGAUUUGUUAGCGCAUAUUCGGAGUACGAAAUGCAUAAUAUCACACAGAGAGCAGAUAAACACACAAGUUGCUUUGUUUGAGGAUAUCUUUAACCCACGAAUGAGGACGAGAAUAGAUUUUUUAACAAGCAGGAAUUUGCUUUUUUUUUUUCGACGCGAUCUCGGGAAAGCUAAAUUAUGUUGAGCUACGGUCUUCUUGCAGCUGCUUUUUGAUGUCCGUUGAUCUGAUCUUCAAAUCUUUCGUAACAUGAAGGAGAACAAAAUUUUUUAAAGAUAGGAGCCGGGCCGGGAAAGGCUGCCUACGAAUCUCACAAGGAGAAUUCAGGCCCAACGUAGUUCGAGUUUAGGAUGAAAUAUUUUCAUUCAUUCUUUCAUUGCGAUUACAAGGAAAUUGAAAUACAACAUUGAAAUUCUUAAAAGAUGACGAAAACACUUUAGUCAUUUUUCCUCCUGUUGUUGUGUCACUCCCUUCCUUUCAGACGAUCUGGAAAUGGAGGCCUGUAGACGAUUUCUUCCUUGUCGUCCACCUCAGUCAAUUCGUUGUCGGGGCCAUUUUUGUCUGCUCCCUAUUUACAAGCGAGGUAUUUUCCGCCUUUCAAGUUGCUACGGGUCGUCAAUUCCUUAUCAAGUGACGCACUUCUGGCAAACAGUACGAUAGUCUCAACAUCUAUCUUUGCCUCUCUCGCCUUUCCUUCGUGCACGUUCAAACGAAGCAUGUCCAACCUUUUUCUCAAGCUUUCAGUUUCCAUCUCAACCUCUUUCUUUCUUUUUAUCUGCGAUUCCAGAUCCUCAUCCAAUGUCACGGAUGCAGCUUUGUAAAUUGAUGUGGUUAUGUCAACUCUGAGCCCUUCUUCCUUGACCUUCUGAAUUUCCUGAGUGACUCGUUCGAUCUUUCUUUGUAAAUCCUCUUCAGUGAGUUUCGUGUGGAUGUUCUUACCCUUUUCCAUAGAGGUAAUUUGCCUUUACUGAGACGAUAGAGCAGUAUUUAGGAUUUGUGGUGUAGGAGAUAGCCUUUUGAGUGAGAAACUUGAGACUUGGGAAUUUUGGUCGGACAUUUGUAAUAGUGGCUUCCAUAUAUUCUUUGGGAAUUUCUGGAUAGGAGUGAGUUUACGAUAUCCUCAUUCAUAGCAACAUAACACAUAAACAGUUAAACACACAUAUAUAUCGCGUCCUUAAACAUAAAAGGGGACCCUUUUGUGUCAAGGGUAGGCCUAGCGCAUUCGAAUGAUGUACGUGUGAAUUUGAACCAAAUAAACAAUUCCCCCCCUCCCAAAUAACAUUUACUAAUGAAUAAUAAUGUUCGCAAAAAGGGAAACAAACAUAAAGACAAACCCACGCAGGGGCAAAAGCAGUGUAAAUACAUGUAAAAACCUACGCAGGGGCAAUAUCUACUAUGCUUCUCCGGAUGAUCCUGCUCCGUCGCCGUCUCUCUGAAUUUUGUGUUACUAGAAUAUAUACCUCAGCAUCAGUAAAAAACCUUCCCCCAGGCGUCCUUUGUCUUCCAAACUUUCGUAUCGCAUCCUCUCGAUUUUCUCCUGAAUCCAGUUAUCAAAGUCAUCGUAACCACGCCUCAGUCUUUCAACCUCUCGAGUCGCCCUCUCAAGAGCGUCUUGAUUCUCUACAAACUUAGCGUACACCUCCUUGGCCUCUUCCUUUAUCUCUUGUAGCUCGGCCACUGAUUUGGCCUCUCUGUCCGUUACACUGCGAAAGCUACGGGGAGUCUGAAAUGAGAUGUUUUGUAUGUCCUUCUUUAGCCAUUCUUUGUAACCCUUGUCAUACCCAACAUUGAAUCGGUCAGGGGCGAUGAUGUCUUUAUCCAUACGCUUAGUGUUUUUCCAUUCUCUAAACAUUUCCGAAGUGUCGUGCACUCUAUCAUCUCCAAUGUCAUACACAUAAGUGCCAUAGUACGCUUCUCUGGGCACGGUUUGUUUUCUUCCGAACUGUCGCAAGACUCGAAAUGGUGCGUAAGGGCGAAUUCUCCGAAUGCCUGGUAGAGGAAGCACAACAUAUCUACGACUCUCCACGACGACUUCUUUGGAUAUAAAACGGUCGAGCAUCCAUUGGAGGUCUUCUUCUCUCAAUUCGGAGAAAAUUUGAGCACAUCUUCCCCUUGUACUCCGAUUGUCCAUAUUUUCCCAGUAUAAUAAGUCAUUUAGAUCCUUAAGGGUGUUUUUGUUGUCGAGGGUAUGUAGCUCCUGAGUCCCAGCACCCUUUGCCAAAUGGUUGAGGAUCUUCCAUUGGAGGAGUAGGUUACACCCUUGAAAAGUAUCGGUGUCCUUCUUUACACUUUCCCAAGGCCUGAUACAUGUCAGAUAGUAUGACUGGAGCUACAGGAUAGUAUUUUGUUGUCCCUUGAUUUUCAUAUCCUUUGAACAAAGUGUGGACGAGUGUUAUGACUCGGGUACUGAUGCUCAAACUCGGACCGUGAGGGAAGACCAUUGUUCCCAAUAAUGCCACAACAAACGCUAGGGGACGGAUCUCGUUCCAUUCUCUGUAGGAGAUCUUAAACUCUCGAUUGUACGUGGCGUAGAAACUCGCGUGUCCAAAUCGAAUAUAGUCAUCAGUUCGAGCCUGAUUAUCCCUAAGCCCAAUGUGAGUUUUUCUAGUUGGAUUUGCUCCCCCGCCGUCGUUCAAUGAUAGAGAUCUCUGAAUGCUGCGUGGGACUACUGGCACCAGUAGGCGAAGUCCUUUCUUAAUUCGAACCAGUCCGCGAUAUCUUCUACGAAGGGUUUAUUGGGGAUGAAGAUGUCUUCUUGUUUUCUGGAUCUUCUCUGUAUUCCGGUGCCUACGGUGUCCAUACAAUCCCUUAUUCCUCCAGAGUCGGGGUAAUUUCGGCUGUUCCAAAACGAAAAACCAUCUUCUGACUGUCCCAAUACCCCGUAAGUACCUCAAUUAGUUCUGGCCAACCAUUCAUGUUGAUCAGUUCGGUUAAGGCACCUACAUACUUGUUAAGGGUUCUUCUAUGAUCCUCAUCCAAAUCGUUGUACCACAUCGUAGGUUGAGGUGGCGCUGAGACGACCAUAUCCGUUAGAUUUCUCCCCCCAAGUUGGUUUUCACACAUACAUUAUUCGAAUGUCAAACAAUAUGAUGUGUCGUGAGGUCGAAGACCUUAGACACGAUUUUGACGAUUUUUCUACUAAAUGGACUUAAUACACCUUGUGUAUUAAGCCGUCUUAGGCUAAUGCUUAAUUUGAUUUUGGUUUCGCUCUAUCUUAGGUUUUCUAGAAUUUUUUUCAAAUUGACGGUUACCCGAGUCGGACAAACAUCGGGGUGGAGCUACCAAACAACGUCGGAUGACCGCAUUCCGAGUAUUUGUUUGAUACUCCCAAACGAAUUCUUGGGUAUUUCUGAAGAAAGCCGUGAUAAGCCACGUAACUUUCGUUUCCUAAUGCAUACUAUUUGCCGUUUGGCGGGAAUAUGCCAUGAAAUGCAAUAGUUUCGAAAUUAAAGCAACUAAGCAAAUAAACAGUUUAUCGCAAUAGUCAAAUAAAGUUAGUCCUAGGGUUAGAAUCCUCCUCCUCCCCAGCGGAUUCGCCCUUCCCGUUUUAUCGAAAAAUCGAAGAGUUUAUUUUGUUUUAGGAGAUUUUCGACUUUUAGGGAGUCGCCACUUAAUUUUUAAGAAAAAUUAAUAAAACUUGUUUUCAAAUAACUUAAACAGAAAAAUUGUUUGAAAACAUUUAAAAAGGGUUCAGAGAUUCUUAUUAACGUCUUAGGAAGAUUUUGAAGGCACCAAAGACGUUCCGCUUAAUGCGGCUUUCCGGAAACUAACCAUUUGACUAAUAUUUGUUUUAAAAUUUGCAAAUUUUAUUUGAAGUUAAACUUCCUAAAAUUUAAAUUAGGCGAGACUUACGAGUUCGGAAAAUUAUCUCUUUAAUAUUCAAAUUAAUUUUAGGUUUGAUAAAAUAGUAUGACGUUCGAUGGGGUCAGAGUUUUCUAACUCUAAGCUAACGACUACCAAGCGAAGGCACGUAAACGAUAUAGUAAAGGAGGGAGAGAGAGAGAGAGAAAGAGAUUGGGUCCAAUUUCGGGUUCUGUCCGGCUUGACCAAAAUUUGGACCCACCUGCUUUUUGGGGUUUUAACCCACUUCUCGUUUGGGUUUUCGACCCACUCACCUGUCCUAGUUUAAGCAUACAAAAUAAAUACAAGAAAGGUAAAAUACGACAAAGGUUUAUGCCCAAAUUAAAUACAACAUAAGAAAUAAAAAAAAUCUUUUAAUCCGCCUUCUUCAAAAUUUCUUCAAUCUUCAAUCAUUUUACAUGGUACGUCGGCCUUGAUGGGUUGACUCGAUGUAGAAGUCGAGCCUCAAUGGCUCCGUUGCGAAGCGAGGGAAAAUGGGAGUUCAUGAAGAACUCGGAUAAAUUUCGUACAAAAACAAAAUAAAUAAAAAACUUUAGUGCGAUGUUCCACUUCUUAGACAAAAUUAAUAUCAAUUAUUGCAACACACAAGUUCACAAUUUCCAAGGUACUAUUUUAUUAUAACAACACACGCAAACAGUAAUGAAUCAUACCUACCAUUAUCAAAUCUCAACAACUCUUGCACACAUAACAAAAAAAAAACAUGACAUAAAACAAAGAAAACGAUAAUAAUGCCAAGACAAAUCUAAAAUUGUGGGCCAAAUUCAUACUAAUUGAGAAUUAAAUAAAGCAAAACAAAAUAAAAAUGGAAUAUAAAAAAAUCUGAUCUAAUGCUCUUCUUUAACAUGUAGAAGACAAAACCAUUUCCAACUGAAACAAGGAAAUCAUUUUUUAGUUAGCAAAAUCGUACGGCAUCAAAGAUUGAACUGAUUUAGCAAUAAUUUUCAAGCCAACGGAAAAAUCAUUUUUUCAUGCUAUAGAGCAACUUCAAAACCCACAUUAGCAGUAACAUACACGAUUAUAGAGCAACCUAUUUAAAAGCAGGAAUAGAACAAUUUACCUAUAGCUAUUUAAAAAUUACACGCCAAAGUAUUCAAAUACAACUGCAGAAUCUACAAUGCGCUUGGCGAUUUCUGAGCUAAUUCAAAGGAGCACACAUGUAUGGAAAUACAUAUCCUAUUUUCUAGCAACAUGGCCCUACACGGACUAGAUAUAACGAUAAACAUAUCAACAAAAAAAACAUGCCACUGUUUUUGCUAAAAAUAGACACGAGAACAAAAAGACAGAUUUUCUUUUUAUCUAUUUUUAGCAUUUCUCCAACUUUAUGCAAAGCAGCAAGCAAACCAAGGCAACAAAAAGCACAAUAUAAGGUUUAACACAAAUGUUCAAACAAACAGAUAUGUAUUUAAAGCCAAAAAAAAGUGUAAAAUCAACCUUUUAAGGUUGUAAACCUUCUGAAAUAAGACUAAACCAUAAACCCAACCUAAAAUCAAUGACGUACUUCUGCUAGGAGCUGAACUUGAGAAUCAUCUCUGAACCACAAAAUCAUUUAGACGAGACGAAGGUGCAACACAUAAACUUCGAACAAUCAAAAGCACCACAGGUAAAAUCCAAAUUUUGACAUCUCAAUUCAUUCUUUCAACUUGAGGUGAAAGAAUAAAGGAUAAGACAUCGAAUGUUAAGCAUCAGUUCAGAUUCAACUAUAUUAAGGAAAACAUGCUCAAUAAGGAAGAAUAACAGAAUAUCAUCUUUGAUAAAGCUAUCGGACUUCCAAGCUCUAACCGGCUACUGUAUUUACUUAAUGAAUCUAACAGAAACACAUGAGUUAUAUAUAUAAAAAAAAAAACUCCAGAACACACAUCAUGUAAUGUCGAUCCAAUAGUGACAAACAAUCCAGCAGACACACAACAAAGGUUUUCAACCCUUAAUCCAUCACAUUGAAACCAAGAGGCGAAGAAGAUUACGUAAAUGGGGUGUUUACCUGUUGAUGAGCUGCGAUACUUGGGAUUCGAGCUAAACAAGGAUGAGCUUCCACGCCGAAAGCAAACACGAACGACGGCUACGACGUUUCAAUGGAAUACCACAGUCGAACACACUGAGAUGAAACAGAACGUAUCUCUCGAUUUCUUCUCAAUUCCCUUUGUUUAUCUCUGUGCUUAUUACGUUUUUGGUAAACCUUUCUAAGACAGAUUGAGCGCUACUCUCGAAAAAAAAUCGAACAGAAAAAAACAAUAGAACAACCUUCUGAGGAAAUCUCAAUCCAUUUUUUUCCAACCCCUUUUCUGAAGAAGAUGGACGUUUAUAUAGAAAAAAAAUUAGGGUUCUUCAAGGGAGAGGGCUGGCAGAUGCCCUUUCAGGCCCAUUAAAAUUCGAAAAACCAAUUCCCAAAUCUUAUCCAAAGGUUGAGGGAAUAUGCCCUGAAGAUGCUCUCGAAUUCGUCCCAUUCCAACGGAAAGGGAGCAUAUGUAGAGGGCUUGGAUCAAUCGCGUGUCCUUGCACCAUUACGUGGAGUGAUCCUACGCUACAAGGACGGAAUUUGCAGCCUUCCCUACUGCAGAGCUACGCGAGCGCACUGCUGUACGGGUGAAGGAGGAAGACGACACAAAAUUUGUUGCUUACGCUUGCGUGAGGCGCGUCGUUGAAGGGGAAGAAGAAGAUCGUUGGGAAAUUUUGCACAUGAAGGAGACGCGGGGGGGGGGGGGGAUUCAGAGAAAUUUCUUCACGCUGCUGGGUUCUGUUUUCUGGGAAUUUCUGUUUUUGGGGAAUUUUCGCGUCUGGGUUGGGAAAAGGAAGAAGGGAUAAACAAGUUUGGGGUUGGG
RNAcentral lists this long non-coding RNA (18979 nucleotides) under Solanum lycopersicum (tomato). RNAcentral describes it as "long non-coding RNA (SLYC_LNC000386)". The record is from RNAcentral. Lineage: Eukaryota; Viridiplantae; Streptophyta; Magnoliopsida; Solanales; Solanaceae.